GGAAGUAAAAGUCGUAACAAGGUUUCCGUAGGUGAACCUGCGGAAGGAUCAUUACUGAUUUAGCGAACCGAGCAUUAGCGAGGUUUUGCGAUCAAUUUAUAUUUAAAACCCACUCUUUAAUGUAUAAAAUUUGUAUUAUGAUAAAUUAAAAGAUCACUUUCAACAACGGAUCUCUUGGCUCUCGCAUCGAUGAAGAACGUAGCGAAGUGCGAUAAGUAAUGUGAAUUGCAGUAUUCCGUGAAUCAUCGAAUCUUUGAACGCAUAUUGCACUUUCUGGUAUUCCGGAAAGUAUGCCUGUUUGAGGGUCAGUUAAAUAAAAAUCGGUGUUGUUGCUGCCCUUCGUGGUGACGCGUCGGAAUUGAGUUGUCUUACCUUCGGUUAAGUGACUUAAAAUUUUGUAUGAUUUUCGAACGUAUUUAAAUUUAUUUGAACGUUUGAUAUCGAAUGCUUAUUAGGUUCGGUCAUCCUCAUGACUCGCGCCUAUAAUUUUUCAUUAAAUGACCUCAAAUCAGGUAAGAAUACCCGCUGAACUUAAGCAUAUCAAUAAGCGGAGGA
RNAcentral lists this ribosomal RNA (555 nucleotides) under uncultured Glomus. Its description in RNAcentral is "eukaryotic LSU rRNA". The stretch from base 155 to 308 matches the Rfam family "5.8S ribosomal RNA". Lineage: Eukaryota; Fungi; Glomeromycota; Glomeromycetes; Glomerales; Glomeraceae. The record is from RNAcentral.